This 1048-nucleotide small RNA is filed under the name Arabidopsis thaliana (thale cress). Its description in RNAcentral is "ATSL201250". Lineage: Eukaryota; Viridiplantae; Streptophyta; Magnoliopsida; Brassicales; Brassicaceae. The record is from RNAcentral.
UAAAAACCUAUUAUCAAUUUGGCGCAGUUGCCAAUUGGGUGUUUGUUUGCUAUAUUUGAGAUCUCAGAAUACUUAAGAUCAAGUUCUUUUUCAAUUUUUCUGAAAGUUACUAACUUUGUGUUUUUUCUGAUUGUCUGUUUUGAUUCAGGUACUAUGAAUCACUAGCUUCAACAGUUGGUACUCGUUGUAUGCAAACACGGUCACGAGGAAAUCAGAAUCUCUUGUUCAACGAUAACAUCGACCGUAUUGCACGCCAACUCAAAACACAGACAGAAACAGACACAAUGGCUGCAGUUGUUGAUGAGCAGGUGCAACCAAACAACAUAGGUGCAGGCGAUGCACCACGCAACCACAAUCAGCGUAAUGGCAUCGUGCCUCCACCUGUGCAGAACAACAACUUUGAGAUCAAGAGCGGUCUCAUUGCCAUGGUUCAGAGCAACAAGUUCCACGACCUCCCUAUGGAGGAUCCACUGGAUCACCUGGACGAGUUUGAUAGGCUCUGCAGCCUAACAAAGAUCAAUGGAGUCAGUGAGGAUGACUUCAAGCUUAGAUUGUUUCCAUUCUCUAUUGGAGACAAAGCCCAUCAGUGGGAAAAGUCGCUUCCUCAAGGCUCUAUCACCUCCUGGAAUGACUGCAAGAAAGCCUUCUUGGCUAAGUUUUUCUCAAACUCCAGGACUGCGAGACUAAGGAAUGAUAUCUCUGGUUUCACUCAGACGAAUAAUGAGACUUUCUGUGAAGCAUGGGAGCGCUUUAAGGGUUAUCAGACGCAAUGUCCUCAUCAUGGUUUCUCGAAAGCUUCACUUCUCAGCACUCUCUACAGAGGUGUCCUUCCAAAGAUCAGGAUGCUUCUAGAUACCGCUUCUAACGGGAACUUCCUCAACAAAGAUGUUGAAGACGGAUGGGAGCUGGUAGAGAACUUGGCUCAGUCGGAUGGCAACUAUAAUGAAGAUUAUGAUAGAAGCAUCCGCACCAGCUCUGAUUCUGAUGAGAAGCACCGCAGGGAAAUGAAAGCCAUGAAUGACAAACUGGACAAGCUACUCCUUGUGCA